This 330-nucleotide ribosomal RNA is filed under the name uncultured eukaryote. RNAcentral describes it as "partial 18S ribosomal RNA". It matches the Rfam family "Eukaryotic small subunit ribosomal RNA", at positions 1470 to 1796 of the family's 1831-position model. The record is from RNAcentral.
CCCUUAGAUGUUCUGGGCCGCACGCGCGCUACACUGAUGCAUUCAACGAGUCUAAAACCUGGUCUGAUAGGGCUGGGUAAUCUUUUGAAUGUGCAUCGUGAUUGGGAUAGAUGAUUGCAAUUCUUCAUCUUCAACGAGGAAUGCCUAGUAAACGCAAGUCAUCAGCUUGCAUUGAUUACGUCCCUGCCCUUUGUACACACCGCCCGUCGCUCCUACCGAUUGAAUGUUCCGAUGAAUACCAUGGACUGAGAGUAUGAAUGGGUUCGCCUAUUUCUGUUUCUCGGGAAGUGGAGUAAAUCUUAACAUUUAGAGGAAGGAGAAGUCGUAACA